GCCCUCUCAGGAUCACAUGUGGAGAGUUUCCAUUACACUACCAGUCUAGACUACGGGUGGGAGAGUCAAGCAGAGGCAUACCCAUUCCACUCCUAGCUUGGGCAGUGGCUAGCGAGUGGAAGACAAUCUGCUACAAGU
Molecule: small nucleolar RNA, 138 nt
Organism: Ornithorhynchus anatinus (platypus)
Lineage: Eukaryota; Metazoa; Chordata; Mammalia; Monotremata; Ornithorhynchidae
Source: RefSeq, a predicted model, not a curated record